This 461-nucleotide ribosomal RNA is filed under the name uncultured archaeon. Its description in RNAcentral is "bacterial SSU rRNA". It matches the Rfam family "Archaeal small subunit ribosomal RNA", at positions 1 to 450 of the family's 1478-position model. The record is from RNAcentral.
UUUCCGGUUGAUCCUGCCGGACCUGACUGCUAUCGGAUUGAUACUAAGCCAUGCGAGUCAUUGUAGUAAUACAAGGCAGACGGCUCAGUAACGCGUAGGUCAACCUAACCUAUGGACAGGGAAUAACCUCGGGAAACUGAGUAUAAUGCCCGAUAGAACAUUAUGCCUGGAAUGGUUAUAUGUUCCAAAUGAUUUAUCGCCGUAGGAUGGGACUGCGGCCUAUCAGUUUGUAUGGUGAGGUAAUGGCCCACCAAAGACUAUUACAGGUACGGGCUCUGAGAGGAGUAGCCCGGAGAUGGGUACUGACACACGGACCCAGGCCCUAUGGGGCGCAGCAGUGCGAGAAAACUUUGCAAAUGUAGCGAAAGCCACGACAAGGUUAAUACAGAGUGGUUAUCUGCUAAAGGAACCUUUUAGUCAGGUCCUAGAAACACCGAUUGACAUACAGGGGUUGGGGCAAG